Molecule: ribosomal RNA, 406 nt
Filed under: uncultured bacterium
Lineage: Bacteria
Description: partial 16S ribosomal RNA
Rfam family: Bacterial small subunit ribosomal RNA
Source: RNAcentral
GAUGAACGCUGACAGCAUGCUUAAUACAUCAGCAAUUGAUUGGUGGCGGACGGGUGUGUAACGCGUAAAGUACUUGCCUCGCAGGUAGGGACAACAUUUGGAAACGCAUGCUAAUACCUAAUAAUGUGUGAGUGCUUUGCGUCCCAUUAGCUAGUUGGAGAGGUAACGGCUCACCAAGGCGAUGAUGGGUCGCAGGCCUGAGAGGGUGAGCGGCCAAAAGUGGACUGGGACACGGCCCUUGCGCCUACUGGAGGAAGCAGUGGAGAAUAAUGGAGAAUGGACGAGAGUCUGAUCCAGCUAUUCUGUGUGCACGAUGAAUUUUUAGGAAGGAAGAGUGCUUUCAUUUAAGAAGCGGUACCAACAGAAGAAGUGACGGCUAAAUACGUGCCAGCAGCCGCGGUAAUUC